Molecule: ribosomal RNA, 289 nt
Filed under: uncultured Ralstonia sp.
Lineage: Bacteria; Pseudomonadati; Pseudomonadota; Betaproteobacteria; Burkholderiales; Burkholderiaceae
Description: partial 16S ribosomal RNA
Source: RNAcentral
CUACCAGGGUUUCUAAUCCUGUUUGCUCCCCACGCUUUCGUGCAUGAGCGUCAGUGUUAUCCCAGGGGGCUGCCUUCGCCAUCGGUAUUCCUCCACAUCUCUACGCAUUUCACUGCUACACGUGGAAUUCUACCCCCCUCUGACACACUCUAGCCGUGCAGUCACCAAUGCAAUUCCCAAGUUAAGCUCGGGGAUUUCACAUCGGUCUUGCACAACCGCCUGCGCACGCUUUACGCCCAGUAAUUCCGAUUAACGCUUGGACCCUACGUAUUACCGCGGCUGCUGGCAC